CAGCCGUCUCGGCUUCCCCGACUGACUCCGGCGCAGCUUCUGCAGGGGCCUGGUGUGUUGGCUGCUCCUCCUGGCCCCUGACAUGUUCCAGGCUUUCUGGCUCAGUCUCCUUGGCCUCUGCCCUCCGGCCCCCGGUCACCAUGAGACCCUCUGCAUCAAGGAGCCUUGGUGCCUCUCCCUCAGGGUGGUAGUCCCCACACCGCCCCUCACUGUCUUCCC
RNAcentral lists this long non-coding RNA (219 nucleotides) under Homo sapiens (human). RNAcentral describes it as "lncAB220.1". The record is from RNAcentral. Lineage: Eukaryota; Metazoa; Chordata; Mammalia; Primates; Hominidae.